Molecule: non-coding RNA, 29 nt
Filed under: Mus musculus (house mouse)
Lineage: Eukaryota; Metazoa; Chordata; Mammalia; Rodentia; Muridae
Source: RNAcentral
UACAUUGCCUGCUUUGGAUCCCUUCCCUU